This 503-nucleotide ribosomal RNA is filed under the name uncultured bacterium. RNAcentral describes it as "partial 16S ribosomal RNA". It matches the Rfam family "Bacterial small subunit ribosomal RNA", at positions 30 to 523 of the family's 1533-position model. The record is from RNAcentral.
AUUGAACGCUGGCGGCAGGCCUAACACAUGCAAGUCGAACGGUAGCACAGAGAGCUUGCUCUCGGGUGACGAGUGGCGGACGGGUGAGUAAUGUCUGGGAAACUGCCCGAUGGAGGGGGAUAACUACUGGAAACGGUAGCUAAUACCGCAUAACGUCGCAAGACCAAAGUGGGGGACCUCGGGCCUCACACCAUCGGAUGUGCCCAGAUGGGAUUAGCUAGUAGGUGGGGUAAUGGCUCACCUAGGCGACGAUCCCUAGCUGGUCUGAGAGGAUGACCAGCCACACUGGAACUGAGACACGGUCCAGACUCCUACGGGAGGCAGCAGUGGGGAAUAUUGCACAAUGGGCGCAAGCCUGAUGCAGCCAUGCCGCGUGUAUGAAGAAGGCCUUCGGGUUGUAAAGUACUUUCAGCGGGGAGGAAGGCGGUGAAGUUAAUAACUUCACCGAUUGACGUUACCCGCAGAAGAAGCACCGGCUAACUCCGUGCCAGCCGCCACAGUAA